This 424-nucleotide small RNA is filed under the name Pan troglodytes (chimpanzee). RNAcentral describes it as "processed transcript". The record is from RNAcentral. Lineage: Eukaryota; Metazoa; Chordata; Mammalia; Primates; Hominidae.
AGCUCAGUGAGACACUGCGCUGACCUGACGGGCUCAUUGACGCAGCUCACGACACCGAGGCAACAGCCACAGACUACCGCACCACAUUUCACCCGGGUAUCCACGAGGUCUAUGUGGAGCUGCAGGAGCUGGUGAUGGACGAAAAGAACCAGGAGCUGAGAUGGAUGGAGGCGGCGCGCUGGGUGCGACUGGAGGAGAACCUGGGGGAGAACGGGGCCUGGGGCCGCCCGCACCUCUCUCACCUCACCUUCUGGAGCCUCCUAGAGCUGCGUAGAGUCUUCACCAAGGGUACUGUCCUCCUAGACCUGCAAGAGACCUCCCUGGCUGGAGUGGCCAACCAACUGCUAGACAGGUUUAUCUUUGAAGACCAGAUCCGGCCUCAGGACCGAGAGGAGCUGCUCCGGGCCCUGCUGCUCAAACACAG